Transfer RNA from Reticulomyxa filosa, 83 nucleotides. It matches the Rfam family "tRNA". From Rfam's summary of the family: Transfer RNA (tRNA) molecules are approximately 80 nucleotides in length. Their secondary structure includes four short double-helical elements and three loops (D, anti-codon, and T loops). The record is from Rfam. NCBI's taxonomy places the organism in Eukaryota, Foraminifera, Reticulomyxidae.
GCCUCUGUGGUGGAAUGGUAGACGCGGCAGACUCAAAAUCUGCUACUCGCAAGAGUGUGCUGGUUCAAGUCCGGCCAGGGGCA